GAUGAACGCUGGCGGCGUGCCUAAUACAUGCAAGUCGAACGAGGUCUUCGGACCUAGUGGCGAACGGGUGAGUAACACGUUGGUACCUACCCCGAAGUGGGGAAUAACUGCCCGAAAGGGUGGCUAAUACCACAUAAUACCGCAAGGUUAAAGCAGUAAUGCGCUUCGGGAGGGGCCUGCGUCCCAUUAGCUAGUUGGUAGGGUAAUGGCCUACCAAGGCGACGAUGGGUAGCUGGAUCGAGAGGAUGACCAGCCACACUGGGACUGAGAUACGGCCCAGACUCCUACGGGAGGCAGCAGUAAGGAAUCUUCCACAAUGGACGAAAGUCUGAUGGAGCAACGCCGCGUGCAGGAUGACGGCCUUCGGGUUGUAAACUGCUUUUAUACGGGAAGAUUAUGACGGUACCGUAUGAAUAAGGACCGGCUAACUACGUGCCAGCAGCCGCAGUAA
This 451-nucleotide ribosomal RNA is filed under the name uncultured bacterium. Its description in RNAcentral is "partial 16S ribosomal RNA". It matches the Rfam family "Bacterial small subunit ribosomal RNA", at positions 28 to 523 of the family's 1533-position model. The record is from RNAcentral.